Molecule: ribosomal RNA, 384 nt
Filed under: Triticum aestivum (bread wheat)
Lineage: Eukaryota; Viridiplantae; Streptophyta; Magnoliopsida; Poales; Poaceae
Description: partial small subunit ribosomal RNA
Source: RNAcentral
AUGCCCCCCUCUGCCGCGGACCUGUUGCGCUCCCCGCCUCAGCAGGCGGCGAACCCCCCACCACCUCGGCUGCGCUCCCUCAUCGUAGCCCCACCACCACCACCGCAGGGCGUCCCGGCGCCAGAUCUGGGUGCGACGCCAUGGCAGCAGGUCCAGGGCCGGAAGGAGCGUCGGGUGGAUGGCUGUCGCCCAAGGUCGUCGGGCCUACUCUCCUCCCGCCCACCGCGCUAUGCUCUUCUCGCAUCGCUCCAUGGAUGCUGCUACAACUGCGGCGAGGACGACGGGCACAUCUUGCGGCACUGGACCAACCCAACCAAGUGCGUCCGAUGCAGGGGGGCGCAGCCACACCUCCCGCGGCUGCACCCGUCCACGGAGCCCCUCUGA